UUGACAUUUUCCCUCAGAAUUUCUAUGAUCGUUCUGCGUGAAAGACAGCUUAAAACUUCACCUUGAAGCCCCUCCAUCAAAACCUGAGUAAGUCAGGCAAUAAGUUCAAGUACUAAUCGGGGUGAAGUAGAAGGCACAACAUGGUCAGCAUGCAAGAACAGCUAACUCCAAUCAAAUGAGUGCUCCUACCAACCUGGUGUUGUGCUUCCAGCUGGUGCCAGUAAUGGGUGCCUGGGGAAGGAGGCGCUGCCAUUCUCCAUCUCCGUCUCAUCAGCCAGGAGAUACAGGAGAACUGAGAUAUUGGAAAAUGAAGCAACCUUUCCAAAGUCAGCAACAGGUCAGCAGCUGAAUUGGGAGCAACAUCCUCUGGCCUCUGCCUCCUCCAGCAGCUCCAGUUCUGAACAGGGCAGAGAUGAUGCUGCAGUGCAGACCGGCAGGACGUAAAAAUACACAGAAGGUAAUAGGAAGCUCUUUGUGCUUCUUCUCAGUUCCUCUCUGCGAGCAUGAGGU
This 510-nucleotide long non-coding RNA is filed under the name Phasianus colchicus (ring-necked pheasant). RNAcentral's name for it is "lncRNA (ENSPCLG00000018325.1)". The record is from RNAcentral. Lineage: Eukaryota; Metazoa; Chordata; Aves; Galliformes; Phasianidae.